GGAUUAGAUACCCUGGUAGUCCACGCCGUAAACGAUGUGCACUAGAUCGAGGGAGUUCUGACACUGCUCUCGGUCGAAGCGAAAGUGUUAAGUGCACCGCCUGGGGAGUACGGUCGCAAGGCUAAAACUCAAAGGAAUUGACGGGGGCUCACACAAGCGGUGGAGCAUGUGGCUUAAUUCGAAACAACGCGAAGAACCUUAUCCUGGGUUUGACAUGCAUGGAUUAGCUUCUGGAAACAGGAGUGACGCGGCUUGCCGUGGAACAUGCACAGGUGCUGCAUGGCUGUCGUCAGCUCGUGCCG
RNAcentral lists this ribosomal RNA (302 nucleotides) under uncultured bacterium. Its description in RNAcentral is "bacterial SSU rRNA". It matches the Rfam family "Bacterial small subunit ribosomal RNA", at positions 775 to 1067 of the family's 1533-position model. The record is from RNAcentral.